This 251-nucleotide ribosomal RNA is filed under the name uncultured prokaryote. RNAcentral's name for it is "partial 16S rRNA". It matches the Rfam family "Bacterial small subunit ribosomal RNA", at positions 525 to 775 of the family's 1533-position model. The record is from RNAcentral.
ACGUAGGGUGCGAGCGUUAAUCGGAAUUACUGGGCGUAAAGCGUGCGCAGGCGGUUUUGUAAGACAGUGGUGAAAUCCCCCGGCUCAACCUGGGAACUGCCAUUGUGACUGCAAAGCUGGAGUGCGGAAGAGGGGGAUGGAAUUCCGCGUGUAGCAGUGAAAUGCGUAGAUAUACGGAAGAACACCGGUGGCGAAGGCGAUCCUCUGGGCUGUAACUGACGCUCAGGCUCGAAAGCGUGGGUAGCAAACAG